GCGGGAAGCGAGUGGAUCCCUUCGGGGUGAAGCUCGUGGAACGAGCGGCGGACGGGUGAGUAACACGUGGGCAACCUACCUGUAAGAUCGGAAUAACCCCGGGAAACCGGGGCUAAUGCCGGGUAAUACUUUUCUUCGCAUGAAGGAAAGUUGAAAGAUGGCUUCUUGCUAUCACUUACAGAUGGGCCCGCGGCGCAUUAGCUAGUUGGUGAGGUAACGGCUCACCAAGGCGACGAUGCGUAGCCGACCUGAGAGGGUGAUCGGCCACACUGGGACUGAGACACGGCCCAGACUCCUACGGGAGGCAGCAGUAGGGAAUCUUCCGCAAUGGACGAAAGUCUGACGGAGCAACGCCGCGUGAACGAUGAAGGUCUUCGGAUCGUAAAGUUCUGUUGUUAGGGAAGAACAAGUACCGUGCGAAUAGAGCGGUACCUUGACGGUACCUAACGAGGAAGCCCCGGCUAACUACGUGCCAGCAGCCGCGGUAAUACGUAGGGGGCAAGCGUUGUCCGGAAUUAUUGGGCGUAAAGCGCGCGCAGGCGGUUCCUUAAGUCUGAUGUGAAAGCCCACGGCUCAACCGUGGAGGGUCAUUGGAAACUGGGGAACUUGAGGACAGAAGAGGAGAGUGGAAUUCCACGUGUAGCGGUGAAAUGCGUAGAUAUGUGGAGGAACACCAGUGGCGAAGGCGACUCUCUGGUCUGUUUCUGACGCUGAGGUGCGAAAGCGUGGGUAGCAAACAGGAUUAGAU
Molecule: ribosomal RNA, 748 nt
Filed under: Halobacillus litoralis
Lineage: Bacteria; Bacillati; Bacillota; Bacilli; Caryophanales; Bacillaceae
Description: bacterial SSU rRNA
Rfam family: Bacterial small subunit ribosomal RNA
Source: RNAcentral